GAUGAACGCUGGCGGCGUGCCUAAUACAUGCAAGUCGAGCGAACAGACGAGGAGCUUGCUCCUCUGACGUUAGCGGCGGACGGGUGAGUAACACGUGGAUAACCUACCUAUAAGACUGGGAUAACUUCGGGAAACCGGAGCUAAUACCGGAUAACAUGUUGAACCGCAUGGUUCAACAGUGAAAGACGGUCUUGCUGUCGCUUAUAGAUGGAUCCGCGCCGCAUUAGCUAGUUGGUAAGGUAACGGCUUACCAAGGCAACGAUGCGUAGCCGACCUGAGAGGGGGGUAGGCCGCAUGGGAACGGGACCGCGGUCAAUGGGACUCAGGGAGGGCACAGAAGGGAAUGUGACGCAGUAGGGGAAAGCAUGGCAGAACAGCGCGACGUGAGAGGAAAAGAUCUUCUGAUCGGAAAACUGUGUUAUUAGGGAAAAACAAAUGUGUAAGUAACUAUGCACGUCUUGACGGUACCUAGUAAGAAAGCCACGGCUAACUACGUG
Molecule: ribosomal RNA, 497 nt
Filed under: uncultured bacterium
Lineage: Bacteria
Description: partial 16S ribosomal RNA
Rfam family: Bacterial small subunit ribosomal RNA
Source: RNAcentral